Molecule: ribosomal RNA, 389 nt
Filed under: Echinodermata sp.
Lineage: Eukaryota; Metazoa; Echinodermata
Description: partial small subunit ribosomal RNA
Rfam family: Eukaryotic small subunit ribosomal RNA
Source: RNAcentral
AUUCCAGCUCCAAUAGCGUAUAUUAAAAUUGCUGCAGUUAAAAAGCUCGUAGUUGGAUCUUGGGCGCAGGCUGGCGGCCCGCCGCAAGGCGCGCCACUGCCCGCCUGGCCUUCCUCUCGGUCUCCGCCCGGUUCUCUUGACUGAGUGCCGGGCGCGGCCGAAACGUUUACUUUGAAAAAAUUGGAGUGUUCAAAGCAGGCCGUGAGCCUGGACAGCAGAGCAUGGAAUAAUGGAAUAGGACCUCGGUUCUAUUGCGUUGGUUUUCGGAACUCGAGGUAAUGAUUAAGAGGGACUGACGGGGGCAUUCGUAUUGCGGUGUGAGAGGUGAAAUUCUUGGAUCGCCGCAAGACGACCGACUGCGAAAGCAUUUGCCAAGAAUGUUUUCAUCG